UACUCCCCUUUCUUUUAUAUUUGGUUAAAGAUGAAACUUCAAAAAUUUGAGAUAAAACAAGAGUUUCAGAUUAUGUAUCGAGGUAUGAGAAGUGCGUGCCAAAUUCUGAAAUUCGAUUUCAAUUUGAGACUUUAACCUUUUCAUUGUUACAUAUUACUCCCCCUUAAGUGUAUAAUCUUUCCUAUUAUCAUUUUCAAUCUUGUUUAUCAACUUAUUUCUUUCCUUCUCCCCCUUUUUGUUAUCAUCAAAUAGGUGCAUGGCAAUAGAUAAGUAGACACAGUAAAUAAUAAACAUUCAGAUUUUACUGAUCAAACAUGGAACAUUGUAGUAUAUUAACACCAAAAAUACAAUGUUUUUCAAUCAAAGUGCAAAGUACAUGAUCAACACAAAAUACAUAUGAGAACUAGAUAAAUCCUAGGCACUAAUCAAGAUGCUAACAUCAGCCUAGGGGGUAUCUAAUGGCUGUGAUCUAGUCCUCAUCCUCCUAGCAUAAGUAGCGAGGGGAGGUCGAGCCUGAUAGGACUGAGUCUGGCAUGGACCUCGCUGAGCUGGAUGACUCUGUGCUGAUACC
This 571-nucleotide long non-coding RNA is filed under the name Phoenix dactylifera (date palm). RNAcentral describes it as "long non-coding RNA (PDAC_LNC009524)". Lineage: Eukaryota; Viridiplantae; Streptophyta; Magnoliopsida; Arecales; Arecaceae. The record is from RNAcentral.